AUGAACGUGUCAAGGAGUUUAUUGAGCUCUGCAGUCGCGCUCGAAUUAAUGGCAUUGUAUGGUCGGCACUACCAGGCAGGGCGCGUCCAAGCCUCACCACUUCAAUGGAUCAUGAGGUAUAUUUGCAAAUUCAUCGUAUCUAACACUUGGUACUAUGCGUGCGUGUGUGUGUGUGUGUGUGUGUGUGUGUGUGUGUGUGUGUGUGUGAUAUGUUUUGUUGUGAACCGUGACAGACCGGGACGCGCCAGGACUCAGUGCUAUUGCGUGUGCCAGCCAGCACUCCCUUGCAGCGCUCUCAGUUCGGCGGUUCACAGCCAGAACGUCAGUUCGGCUCCGGAGCGAUGGAGGUAG
Molecule: ribosomal RNA, 351 nt
Filed under: Triticum aestivum (bread wheat)
Lineage: Eukaryota; Viridiplantae; Streptophyta; Magnoliopsida; Poales; Poaceae
Description: partial small subunit ribosomal RNA
Source: RNAcentral